CGCGCAGUAAACGAUGAGCGCUAACUGUCCGGUCCGAACGGGGGCUGGGGGGUAAAGCGAAAGCGUUAAGCGCUCCACCUGGGGAGUACGCCGGCAACGGUGAAACUCAAAGGAAUUGACGGGGGCCCGCACAAGCGGAGGAACAUGUGGUUUAAUUCGAUGAUACGCGAGGGACCUUACCCGGGCUCAAACGGUGGCGGGAUUUCCGUGAAAGCGGGGAGCCGGCAACGGCCGCCACCGAGGUGC
RNAcentral lists this ribosomal RNA (246 nucleotides) under uncultured bacterium. RNAcentral's name for it is "partial 16S ribosomal RNA". It matches the Rfam family "Bacterial small subunit ribosomal RNA", at positions 796 to 1041 of the family's 1533-position model. The record is from RNAcentral.